RNAcentral lists this ribosomal RNA (441 nucleotides) under uncultured bacterium. RNAcentral's name for it is "partial 16S ribosomal RNA". It matches the Rfam family "Bacterial small subunit ribosomal RNA", at positions 338 to 795 of the family's 1533-position model. The record is from RNAcentral.
CCUACGGGUGGCAGCAGUGGGGAAUAUUGGACAAUGGGGGAAACCCUGAUGCAGCGACGCAGCGUGAAUGAAGAAGUAUUUAGGGGUGUAAAGCUCUAUCAGCAAGGGAGAAGAAAGACGGUACCUGACUAAGAAGCACCGGCUAACUACGUGCCAGCAGCCGCGGUAAUACGUAGGAGGCAAGCGUUAUCCGGAUUUACUGGGUUUAACGGGAGCGUAGACGGCUGUUGAAGUCUGAAGUGAAAGCCCAGGGCUCAACCCUAGGACUGCUUUGGAAACUGUGGAGCUAGAGUGCUGGAGAGGUAAGCGGAAUUCCUAGUGUAGCGGUGAAAUGCGUAGAUAUUAGGAGGAACACCAGUGGCGAAGGCGGCCUACUGGACAGUAACUGACGUUGAGGCUCGAAAGUGUGGGGAGCAAACAGGAUUAGAUACCCCUGUAGUC